GUAGAACGCUUGCGGCAGGCUUAAUACAUGCAAGUCGGACGGUAACAGGGUCUUCGGACUGCUGACGAGUGGCGGAUGGGUGAGUAACGCGUAUGCAACCUUCCUCACACCGAGAAAAAGUCGACUAGAAAAGUUGAAUAAAGUCUCGUGGUGUGCAUUUCUCGCAUGAGAUGUGUAUGAUAGAAGCAAUUUGGUGUGAGAUGGGCAUGCGUAUCAUUAGCUAGUUGGUAGGGUAACGGCUUACCAAGGCGACGAUGAUUAGGGGGCCUGAGAGGGUGGUCCCCCACACUGGGACUGAGACACGGCCCAGACUCCUACGGGAGGCAGCAGUAGGGAAUAUUGGUCAAUGGGCGGAAGCCUGAACCAGCCAUGCCGCGUGAUGGAUGACGGCCUUAGGGUUGUAAACAUCUUUUCUGCUAGAGGAAUAGAGUUCACGCGUGGACAG
This 445-nucleotide ribosomal RNA is filed under the name uncultured bacterium. RNAcentral describes it as "bacterial SSU rRNA". It matches the Rfam family "Bacterial small subunit ribosomal RNA", at positions 31 to 475 of the family's 1533-position model. The record is from RNAcentral.